CCUACGGGAGGCAGCAGUGGGGAAUCUUGCGCAAUGGGCGAAAGCCUGACGCAGCAACGCCGCGUGCGGGAAGAAGGCUUUCGGGCUGUAAACCGCUUUCAGCAGGAACGCAAAUGACGGUACCUGCAGAAGAAGGAGCGGCCAACUAUGUGCCAGCAGCCGCGGUGAUACAUAGGCUUCAAGCGUUGUCCGGAUUUAUUGGGCGUAAAGAGUUCGUAGGCGGUCGAGUAAGUCGGGUGUGAAAAUUCUGGGCUCAACCCAGAGACGCCACCCGAUACUGCUUGACUUGAGUUCGAUAGGGGAGUGGGGAAUUCCUAGUGUAGCGGUGAAAUGCGCAGAUAUUAGGAGGAACACCGGUGGCGAAGGCGCCACUCUGGAUCGAUACUGACGCUGAGGAACGAAAGCAUGGGUAGCAAACAGGAUUAGAUACCCUGGUAGUCCAUGCCGUAAACGGUGGGCACUAGGUGUGGGUUUCUAUUAACGAAAUCCGCGCCGUCGCUAACGCAUUAAGUGCCCCGCCUGGGGAGUACGGUCGCAAGACUAAAACUCAAAUGAAUUGACGG
This 563-nucleotide ribosomal RNA is filed under the name uncultured bacterium. RNAcentral's name for it is "bacterial SSU rRNA". It matches the Rfam family "Bacterial small subunit ribosomal RNA", at positions 338 to 916 of the family's 1533-position model. The record is from RNAcentral.